GACGAACGCUGGCGGCGUGCUUAACACAUGCAAGUCGAACGGAAGGGCGCUGCUUUUGUGGGGUGCUCGAGUGGCGAACGGGUGAGUAACACGUGAGUAACCUGCCCUUGACUUUGGGAUAACUUCAGGAAACUGGGGCUCAUACCGGAUAGGAGCUCCUGCUGCAUGGUGGGGGUUGGAAAGUUUCGGCGGUUGGGGCUGGACUGGCGGCUUAUCAGCUUGUUGGUGGGGUAGUGGCUUACCAAGGCUUUGACGGGUAGCCGGCCUGAGAGGGUGACCGGCCACAUUGGGACUGAGAUACGGCCCAGACGCCUACGGGAGGCAGCAGUGGGGAAUAUUGCACAAUGGGCGGAAGCCUGAUGCAGCAACGCCGCGUGCGGGAUGACGGCCUUCGGGUUGUAAACCGCUUUCGCCUGUGACGAAGCGUGAGUGACGGUAAUGGGUAAAGAAGCACCGGCUAACUACGUG
RNAcentral lists this ribosomal RNA (468 nucleotides) under uncultured bacterium. RNAcentral's name for it is "partial 16S ribosomal RNA". It matches the Rfam family "Bacterial small subunit ribosomal RNA", at positions 28 to 507 of the family's 1533-position model. The record is from RNAcentral.